AUUGAACGCUGGCGGCAUGCUUUACACAUGCAAGUCGAACGGUAACAGGCCUUCGGGUGCUGACGAGUGGCGAACGGGUGAGUAAUGCAUCGGAACGUGCCCAGAGGUGGGGGAUAACGCAGCGAAAGCUGUGCUAAUACCGCAUGUGAUCUGAGGAUGAAGCGGGGGACCAGGCAGCAAUGUUUGGCCUCGCGCCUUUGGAGCGGCCGAUGUCAGAUUAGGUAGUUGGUGGGGUAAAGGCCUACCAAGCCGACGAUCUGUAGCUGGUCUGAGAGGACGACCAGCCACACUGGGACUGAGACACGGCCCAGACUCCUACGGGAGGCAGCAGUGGGGAAUUUUGGACAAUGGGCGCAAGCCUGAUCCAGCAAUGCCGCGUGCGGGAAGAAGGCCUUCGGGUUGUAAACCGCUUUUGUACGGAACGAAAAGGCUCUGGCUAAUACCUGGGGCUGAUGACGGUACCGUAAGAAUAAGCACCGGCUAACUACGUG
This 491-nucleotide ribosomal RNA is filed under the name uncultured bacterium. Its description in RNAcentral is "partial 16S ribosomal RNA". It matches the Rfam family "Bacterial small subunit ribosomal RNA", at positions 30 to 507 of the family's 1533-position model. The record is from RNAcentral.